Molecule: ribosomal RNA, 270 nt
Filed under: Salmonella enterica
Lineage: Bacteria; Pseudomonadati; Pseudomonadota; Gammaproteobacteria; Enterobacterales; Enterobacteriaceae
Also listed under: 2 other names
Description: partial 16S ribosomal RNA
Rfam family: Bacterial small subunit ribosomal RNA
Source: RNAcentral
GAGGAAUACCGGUGGCGAAGGCGGCCCCCUGGACAAAGACUGACGCUCAGGUGCGAAAGCGUGGGGAGCAAACAGGAUUAGAUACCCUGGUAGUCCACGCCGUAAACGAUGUCUACUUGGAGGUUGUGCCCUUGAGGCGUGGCUUCCGGAGCUAACGCGUUAAGUAGACCGCCUGGGGAGUACGGCCGCAAGGUUAAAACUCAAAUGAAUUGACGGGGGCCCGCACAAGCGGUGGAGCAUGUGGUUUAAUUCGAUGCAACGCGAAGAACC